UUCAUGGAGAGUUUGAUCCUGGCUCAGGACGAACGCUGGCGGCGUGCCUAAUACAUGCAAGUCGAGCGGACAGAUGGGAGCUUGCUCCCUGAUGUUAGCGGCGGACGGGUGAGUAACACGUGGGUAACCUGCCUGUAAGACUGGGAUAACUCCGGGAAACCGGGGCUAAUACCAGAUGCUUGAUUGAACCGCAUGGUUCAAUUAUAAAAGGUGGCUUUUAGCUACCACUUACAGAUGGACCCGCGGCGCAUUAGCUAGUUGGUGAGGUAACGGCUCACCAAGGC
Molecule: ribosomal RNA, 284 nt
Filed under: Bacillus sp. MBGLi97
Lineage: Bacteria; Bacillati; Bacillota; Bacilli; Caryophanales; Bacillaceae
Description: partial 16S ribosomal RNA
Rfam family: Bacterial small subunit ribosomal RNA
Source: RNAcentral